UUUCACACACAGAGGAUCACAUCCAUUUCCUCCAGAGGUGCCGGGGUCUUCCUGUCACCCCUGAUGCCGGAUUUGGACCCAGAUUCUCUGUCCAUCCACACUGCUCUUUUGAGAAUGUGAAGAAGGUGGUUUCUCAACUGAAGGAUCAACUGGAGAAUGUUUGUGAAAAGAAAACAACAGAGAUCAAUUAUGCAGUUACCAAAAGCACAUCAUCUUAUGUUUGGCAAGAUUUAGAUUUCCCAUUCAGGGCCUCAAAAUGGGUCGUGAAAAAUAAGCAAGUGAAGUAUCUGCAUAGCACAUCAAAUUCGUAACAUGGAAG
Paramormyrops kingsleyae is the source of this 319-nucleotide non-coding RNA. The record is from RefSeq and is a predicted model, not a curated record. NCBI's taxonomy places the organism in Eukaryota, Metazoa, Chordata, Actinopteri, Osteoglossiformes, Mormyridae.